RNAcentral lists this ribosomal RNA (500 nucleotides) under Geobacillus thermoleovorans. RNAcentral describes it as "bacterial SSU rRNA". It matches the Rfam family "Bacterial small subunit ribosomal RNA", at positions 14 to 493 of the family's 1533-position model. Lineage: Bacteria; Bacillati; Bacillota; Bacilli; Caryophanales; Anoxybacillaceae. The record is from RNAcentral.
UGAUCCUGGCUCAGGACGAACGCUGGCGGCGUGCCUAAUACAUGCAAGUCGAGCGGACCAAAUCGGAGCUUGCUCUGAUUUGGUCAGCGGCGGACGGGUGAGUAACACGUGGGCAACCUGCCCGCAAGACCGGGAUAACUCCGGGAAACCGGAGCUAAUACCGGAUAACACCGAAGACCGCAUGGUCUUUGGUUGAAAGGCGGCCUUUGGCUGUCACUUGCGGAUGGGCCCGCGGCGCAUUAGCUAGUUGGUGAGGUAACGGCUCACCAAGGCGACGAUGCGUAGCCGGCCUGAGAGGGUGACCGGCCACACUGGGACUGAGACACGGCCCAGACUCCUACGGGAGGCAGCAGUAGGGAAUCUUCCGCAAUGGGCGAAAGCCUGACGGAGCGACGCCGCGUGAGCGAAGAAGGCCUUCGGGUCGUAAAGCUCUGUUGUGAGGGACGAAGGAGCGCCGUUCGAAGAGGGCGGGCGCGGUGACGGUACCCACGAGGAAGCCC